GGCACACGCGUGAUGAGUC
This 19-nucleotide non-coding RNA is filed under the name Arabidopsis thaliana (thale cress). The record is from RNAcentral. Lineage: Eukaryota; Viridiplantae; Streptophyta; Magnoliopsida; Brassicales; Brassicaceae.